This 1020-nucleotide ribosomal RNA is filed under the name Mucor circinelloides. Its description in RNAcentral is "partial large subunit ribosomal RNA". It matches the Rfam family "Eukaryotic large subunit ribosomal RNA", at positions 38 to 964 of the family's 3401-position model. The record is from RNAcentral. Lineage: Eukaryota; Fungi; Mucoromycota; Mucoromycetes; Mucorales; Mucoraceae.
GCAUAUCCAAUAAGCGGAGGAAAAAGAAAAAUAACAAUGAUUCCCCUAGUAACGGCGAGUGAAGAGGAAAGAGCUCAAAGUUGGAAACUGUUUGGCUUAGCUAAACCGUAUUGUAAACUGUAGAAACAUUUUCCUGGCACGCCGGAUUAAUAAGUCCUUUGGAACAAGGCAUCAUGGAGGGUGAGAAUCCCGUCUUUGAUCCGAGUAGUUGUCUUUUGUGAUAUGUUUUCAAAGAGUCAGGUUGUUUGGGAAUGCAGCCUAAAUUGGGUGGUAAAUCUCACCUAAAGCUAAAUAUUUGCGAGAGACCGAUAGCGAACAAGUACCGUGAGGGAAAGAUGAAAAGAACUUUGAAAAGAGAGUUAAACAGUAUGUGAAAUUGUUAAAAGGGAACCGUUUGGAGCCAGACUGGUUUGACUGUAAUCAACCUAGAAUUCGUUCUGGGUGCACUUGCAGUCUAUACCUGCCAACAACAGUUUGAUUUGGAGGAAAAAAUUAGUAGGAAUGUAGCCUCUCGAGGUGUUAUAGCCUACUAUCAUACUCUGGAUUGGACUGAGGAACGCAGCGAAUGCCUUUAGGCGAGAUUGCUGGGUGCUUUCGCUAAUAAAUGUUAGAAUUUCUGCUUCGGGUGGUGCUAAUGUUUAAAGGAGGAACACAUCUAGUAUAUUUUUUAUUCGCUUAGGUUGUUGGCUUAAUGACUCUAAAUGACCCGUCUUGAAACACGGACCAAGGAGUCCACCAUAAGUGCAAGUAUUUGAGUGACAAACUCAUAUGCGUAAGGAAACUGAUUGAUACGAAAUCUUUUGAUGGCAGUAUCACCCGGCGUUGACGUUUUAUACUGAACUGACCGAGGUAAAGCACUUAUGAUGGGACCCGAAAGAUGGUGAACUAUGCCUGAAUAGGGUGAAGCCAGAGGAAACUCUGGUGGAGGCUCGUAGCGAUUCUGACGUGCAAAUCGAUCGUCAAAUUUGGGUAAGGGGGCGAAAGACUAAUCGAAACCAUCUAGUAGCUGGGUUCUGCGGA